UUCCCAGACUCCUACGGGAGGCAGCAGUGGGGAAUAUUGCACAAUGGGGGAAACCCUGAUGCAGCAACGCCGCGUGAAGGAAGAAGGGUUUCGGCUCGUAAACUUCUAUCGAUAGGGACGAAAGAGAUGACGGUACCUAAAUAAGAAGCCCCGGCUAACUACGUGCCAGCAGCCGCGGUAAUACGUAGGGGGCAAGCGUUAUCCGGAAUUACUGGGUGUAAAGGGAGCGUAGGCGGCAAGGUAAGUAAGAUGUGAAAGCCCGCAGCUUAACUGCGAGGAUUGCAUUUUAAACUAUCUAGCUUGAGUACAGGAGAGGUAAGCGGAAUUCCUAGUGUAGCGGUGAAAUGCGUAGAUAUUAGGAAGAACACCAGUGGCGAAGGCGGCUUACUGGACUGUAACUGACGCUGAGGCUCGAAAGCGUGGGGAGCGAACAGGAUUAGAUACCCGAGUA
RNAcentral lists this ribosomal RNA (451 nucleotides) under uncultured bacterium. Its description in RNAcentral is "bacterial SSU rRNA". It matches the Rfam family "Bacterial small subunit ribosomal RNA", at positions 328 to 792 of the family's 1533-position model. The record is from RNAcentral.